UGGGGAAUAUUGCACAAUGGGCGAAAGCCUGAUGCAGCAACGCCGCGUGAGUGAUGAAGGCCUUCGGGUCGUAAAACUCUGUCCUCAAGGAAGAUAAUGACGGUACUUGAGGAGGAAGCCCCGGCUAACUACGUGCCAGCAGCCGCGGUAAUACGUAGGGGGCUAGCGUUAUCCGGAUUUACUGGGCGUAAAGGGUGAGUAGGUGGUCUCUUAAGUCAGGAGUGAAAGGCUACGGCUUAACCGUAGUAAGCUCUUGAAACUGGGAGACUUGAGUGCAGGAGAGGAGAGUGGAAUUCCUAGUGUAGCGGUGAAAUGCGUAGAUAUUAGGAGGAACACCAGUUGCGAAGGCGGCUCUCUGGACUGUAACUGACACUGAGGCACGAAAGCGUGGGGAGCAAACAGG
RNAcentral lists this ribosomal RNA (403 nucleotides) under uncultured Peptostreptococcaceae bacterium. RNAcentral's name for it is "bacterial SSU rRNA". It matches the Rfam family "Bacterial small subunit ribosomal RNA", at positions 355 to 776 of the family's 1533-position model. The record is from RNAcentral. Lineage: Bacteria; Bacillati; Bacillota; Clostridia; Peptostreptococcales; Peptostreptococcaceae.